UAUCAAUGUCUAUUCUUUGUGAACCUUUCA
Molecule: non-coding RNA, 30 nt
Filed under: Mus musculus (house mouse)
Lineage: Eukaryota; Metazoa; Chordata; Mammalia; Rodentia; Muridae
Source: RNAcentral